This 253-nucleotide ribosomal RNA is filed under the name uncultured bacterium. RNAcentral describes it as "partial 16S ribosomal RNA". It matches the Rfam family "Bacterial small subunit ribosomal RNA", at positions 524 to 776 of the family's 1533-position model. The record is from RNAcentral.
UACGAAGGGGGCUAGCGUUGCUCGGAAUCACUGGGCGUAAAGGGUGCGUAGGCGGGUCUUUAAGUCAGUGGUGAAAUCCUGGAGCUCAACUCCAGAACUGCCUUUGAUACUGAGGAUCUUGAGUUCGGGAGAGGUGAGUGGAACUGCGAGUGUAGAGGUGAAAUUCGUAGAUAUUCGCAAGAACACCAGUGGCGAAGGCGGCUCACUGGCCCGAUACUGACGCUGAGGCACGAAAGCGUGGGGAGCAAACAGG